UAGAGCCUGAAAGCUUAGUGGGAGCAAGAUGGAGGACCAGUUUGAGGAUCCCCAAUCAGAUCCAUUCACUACAAGCUUCUACCACUGAUAUUUGACUCCCAUUGUAGAAUCAAUCCAUUUUUGUAUAUAGAUGAUAAUCCCCAAGAUGGUGACCUACCCCUUCUCAUAUUGACCAGAAUAGGAGUAUUCACACUGGAGAUCCAGAGACUGUUAGUGGAGAGAAUUGGCUAGUUAGUAAUUACCUCAUUAAAUAACUCACGCGCUUGGACUCCAUGACCACAGAGCUGCAUUGUCCAAAUGACAUUCUGUACACCCAAGAACAGGAAUAGGGAAAGAAAGAGAGAGAGAGAGAGAGAGAGAGAGAGAGAGAGAGAGAGAGAGAGAGCCAGAGGAACUAGAGAAUUUAUCAUAGGUCAGGAGCCUAAGCUUGAAGACAAGGGAUUGAGGUGGUGGUAUAACGUAUAAAGAAAGUGAUCUCAAAGCAAGGGAAUGAUUUAGGCAUGUGGUCUAUAAAUAAAAUGAUUAGGCUGAUACCAUGGAGGGGAACCCUGAUGCCCCACAGGACUGAGGCUAAAGGAGCAAUACUCACCGUACCCAGAGCAAGUCUCAGGCCACAUCUUACUUAUGUGUCCCUGCUUGGUUCAGGAACUGCAUUGGGAAACAGUUUGCCAUGAAUGAGCUGAAGGUGGCUGUGGCCCUGACCCUGCUUCGCUUUGAGUUGCUGCCAGAUCCCACCAGGAUCCCGGUCCCUAUGGCAAGACUUGUGUUGAAGUCCAAGAAUGGGAUCCACCUGCGUCUCAAGAAGCUAAGAUAAAUCUGGUGGAGAUAGGACAGCUCCAGAGGUCUGCUGCCUGCAAUACCUGCAUUUGUUACUGGCUAAUUUAUACUCAUUUUGCUUUCUCUUUGAUUCCCAUUCUCUGCUGAGUGUCCCGUCAUCUCAUUUUUUUGCCCUCAUUUCUGUAGCUUUUCCUCCAGACUCCAUCCCAGUUUGUGCGUGGACCCAUUUCCCAUCUGUUUUCACCUCUGACCAGCCACUGAACUUGCCGCCAGCAGCCUGUCCUCCAGCCUGCUUACCCCUCAUUAUCAUUGGACUAACAGAGAAAGAUGUAUUUUAGAGGGAAACUCUUGCACUUUAUCUCUCUUCAGUUCUCAGAGUCUUGGGACAAUGGACAUCAUGAAUUAAAAUGUUCUUAAAAAUCACAUGCUGGGAGAAAAUUAAUCCUAAAAAUUCUGGCACCAGCCAGAGGAAGGAUGUUGGCUGAAAAGAAAAGAUUUCUAGAUAUUUAUGUUUGUCUCAUGGUGAAAUUAAUGUAUGCCUCAUCUUUUCUAUGAAAUAAUAAUUCUGAUACAGAACAGUAGAGAGAAAUGAAUAGUUUUUGCUACUUUGGGCCAAACUGUAAAUAAAUCCAUUUCACUUCAUUAA
This 1423-nucleotide long non-coding RNA is filed under the name Rattus norvegicus (Norway rat). RNAcentral's name for it is "long non-coding RNA NONRATT023483". Lineage: Eukaryota; Metazoa; Chordata; Mammalia; Rodentia; Muridae. The record is from RNAcentral.